This is a ribosomal RNA of Propithecus coquereli (Coquerel's sifaka), 104 nucleotides long. The record is from Ensembl. Lineage: Eukaryota; Metazoa; Chordata; Mammalia; Primates; Indriidae.
UGUCUAUGGCCAUAUCACCCUGAAUGCGCCCAAUCUCGUCUGAUCGCAGAAGCUAAGCAGGGUCGGGCUUGGUUAGUAACUUGGAUGGAUGGGAGUCAUGAUAC